Molecule: ribosomal RNA, 222 nt
Filed under: uncultured Candidatus Accumulibacter sp.
Lineage: Bacteria; Pseudomonadati; Pseudomonadota; Betaproteobacteria
Description: partial 16S ribosomal RNA
Rfam family: Bacterial small subunit ribosomal RNA
Source: RNAcentral
CCCUUCUGGAGUUUGGCAGAGGGGGGUGGAAUUCCACGUGUAGCAGUGAAAUGUGUAGAGAUGUGGAGGAACACCGAUGGCGAAGGCAGCCCCCUGGGCCGAUACUGACGCUCAUGCACGAAAGCGUGGGUAGCAAACAGGAUUAGAUACCCUGGUAGUCCACGCCCUAAACGAUGUCAACUAGUUGUUGGGAGGGUAAAACCUUUUAGUGCCGUAGCUAAC